CGGCGGACGGGUGAGUAAUGCCUAGGAAUCUGCCUGGUAGUGGGGGACAACGUUUCGAAAGGAACGCUAAUACCGCAUACGUCCUACGGAGAAAGCAGGGACCUUCGGGCCUUGCGCUAUCAGAUGAGGCUAGGUCGGAUUAGCUAGUUGGUGAGGUAAUGGCUCACCAAGGCGACGAUCCGUAACUGGUCUGAGAGGAUGAUCAGUCACACUGGAACUGAGACACGGUCCAGACUCCUACGGGAGGCAGCAGGC
This 255-nucleotide ribosomal RNA is filed under the name uncultured Pseudomonas sp. RNAcentral describes it as "partial 16S ribosomal RNA". It matches the Rfam family "Bacterial small subunit ribosomal RNA", at positions 96 to 354 of the family's 1533-position model. The record is from RNAcentral. Lineage: Bacteria; Pseudomonadati; Pseudomonadota; Gammaproteobacteria; Pseudomonadales; Pseudomonadaceae.